GUAUAUAUAGCUCAGUGGUAGAGUACAUGCUUAGCAUGCAUGAGGUCCUGGGUUCAAUCCCCAGUACCUCCA
RNAcentral lists this transfer RNA (72 nucleotides) under Camelus bactrianus (Bactrian camel). It matches the Rfam family "tRNA". Rfam says of the family: Transfer RNA (tRNA) molecules are approximately 80 nucleotides in length. Their secondary structure includes four short double-helical elements and three loops (D, anti-codon, and T loops). The record is from Rfam by way of RNAcentral. RNAcentral also lists the same sequence under 2 other names. Lineage: Eukaryota; Metazoa; Chordata; Mammalia; Artiodactyla; Camelidae.